UACGAAGGGGGCUAGCGUUGCUCGGAAUCACUGGGCGUAAAGCGCACGCAGGCGGUUUGUUAAGUCAGAUGUGAAAUCCCCGGGCUCAACCUGGGAACUGCAUUUGAAACUGGCAAGCUAGAGUCUCGUAGAGGGGGGUAGAAUUCCAGGUGUAGCGGUGAAAUGCGUAGAGAUCUGGAGGAGUACCGGUGGCGAAGGCGGCCCCCUGGACGAAGACUGACGCUCAGGUGCGAAAGCGUGGGGAGCAAACAGG
This 253-nucleotide ribosomal RNA is filed under the name uncultured prokaryote. RNAcentral describes it as "partial 16S ribosomal RNA". It matches the Rfam family "Bacterial small subunit ribosomal RNA", at positions 524 to 776 of the family's 1533-position model. The record is from RNAcentral.